GACAGAGUGGUGGAAUGGUUUGAACUUUAGACUGUGACUCUGUAGACCAGAGUUCAAAUCCUGGCUUGGCCA
Phrynosoma platyrhinos (Desert horned lizard) is the source of this 72-nucleotide non-coding RNA. The record is from the annotation of a GenBank genome assembly. Lineage: Eukaryota; Metazoa; Chordata; Lepidosauria; Squamata; Phrynosomatidae.